UAAAGGAAACCUCCAAGUGAUGGGCAUAC
Molecule: non-coding RNA, 29 nt
Filed under: Homo sapiens (human)
Lineage: Eukaryota; Metazoa; Chordata; Mammalia; Primates; Hominidae
Source: RNAcentral